RNAcentral lists this ribosomal RNA (253 nucleotides) under uncultured bacterium. Its description in RNAcentral is "partial 16S ribosomal RNA". It matches the Rfam family "Bacterial small subunit ribosomal RNA", at positions 524 to 776 of the family's 1533-position model. The record is from RNAcentral.
UACAGAGACUGCAAGCGUUAUUCGGAUUUACUGGGUUUAAAGGGUGCGUAGGUGGGUCUGUAAGUCAGUGGUGAAAUCUCCGAGCUUAACUCGGAAACUGCCAUUGAUACUAUAGGUCUUGAAUUAUCUGGAGGUAAGCGGAAUAUGUCAUGUAGCGGUGAAAUGCUUAGAUAUGACAUAGAACACCAAUUGCGAAGGCAGCUUACUACGGAUUGAUUGACACUGAGGCACGAAAGCGUGGGGAUCAAACAGG